UUCAAACACCAGUUCUCGUACGAUCACCGAAGUUAAGCAACAUCGAGCCUGGUCAGUACCUAGAGAAGUGACCAGUUAGAAAUACCAGGUGCUGUAA
Acanthosepion pharaonis is the source of this 97-nucleotide non-coding RNA. The record is from the annotation of a GenBank genome assembly. NCBI's taxonomy places the organism in Eukaryota, Metazoa, Mollusca, Cephalopoda, Sepiida, Sepiidae.